GUUGCCAUCAGGUUAAGCUGGGGACGUCUAAAGGAACUGCCUACGCAAGUAGUGAGGAAGCGGGGAUGACGUCAAAUCAGCAGGCCCUUACGUCCAGGGCUACACACGUGCUACAAUGGCCGAUACAGAGGGCAGCUACCUGGUGACAGGAUGCAAAUCUCCAAAGUCGGUCUCAGUUCGGAUCGGAGUCUGCAACCCGACUCCGUGAAGUUGGAUUCGCUAGUAAUCGCGCAUCAGCCAUGGCGCGGUGAAUACGUUCCCGGGCCUU
RNAcentral lists this ribosomal RNA (268 nucleotides) under uncultured Sphingobacteriales bacterium. RNAcentral describes it as "partial 16S ribosomal RNA". It matches the Rfam family "Bacterial small subunit ribosomal RNA", at positions 1114 to 1382 of the family's 1533-position model. The record is from RNAcentral. Lineage: Bacteria; Pseudomonadati; Bacteroidota; Sphingobacteriia; Sphingobacteriales.